GGAUGAGCCCGCGGCCUAUCAGCUUGUUGGUGGGGUAAUGGCCUACCAAGGCGACGACGGGUAGCCGGCCUGAGAGGGCGACCGGCCACACUGGGACUGAGACACGGCCCAGACUCCUACGGGAGGCAGCAGUGGGGAAUAUUGCACAAUGGGCGAAAGCCUGAUGCAGCGACGCCGCGUGAGGGAUGACGGCCUUCGGGUUGUAAACCUCUUUCAGCAGGGAAGAAGCGAAAGUGACGGUACCUGCAGAAGAAGCGCCGGCUAACUACGUGCCAGCAGCCGCGGUAAUACGUAGGGCGCAAGCGUUGUCCGGAAUUAUUGGGCGUAAAGAGCUCGUAGGCGGCUUGUCGCGUCGGAUGUGAAAGCCCGGGGCUUAACCCCGGGUCUGCAUUCGAUACGGGCAGGCUAGAGUGUGGUAGGGGAGAUCGGAAUUCCUGGUGUAGCGGUGGAAUGCGCAGAUAUCAGGAGGAACACCGGUGGCGAAGGCGGAUCUCUGGGCCAUUACUGACGCUGAGGAGCGAAAGCGUGGGGAGCGAACAGGAUUAGAUACCCUGGUAGUCCACGCCGUAAACGUUGGGAACUAGGUGUUGGCGACAUUCCACGUCGUCGGUGCCGCAGCUAACGCAUUAAGUUCCCCGC
Molecule: ribosomal RNA, 639 nt
Filed under: uncultured Streptomyces sp.
Lineage: Bacteria; Bacillati; Actinomycetota; Actinomycetes; Kitasatosporales; Streptomycetaceae
Description: bacterial SSU rRNA
Rfam family: Bacterial small subunit ribosomal RNA
Source: RNAcentral